RNAcentral lists this long non-coding RNA (400 nucleotides) under Hordeum vulgare. RNAcentral's name for it is "long non-coding RNA (HVUL_LNC011968)". The record is from RNAcentral. Lineage: Eukaryota; Viridiplantae; Streptophyta; Magnoliopsida; Poales; Poaceae.
UCACCGCAUGAGAUGGGCAGUGCCUCAGCCGUUGUGGACACAAACGAGGUCGCCGCCAAGAUCACCUCGUCAUGGGCUACUCAUCAUCCACCGCACGAGGUGCUCCGACACUUCACCCUAAACCCUUACUUCUUCAUAAGUACUGAGUUACCUAUGCCAUAGGAUUUAAACAGUUACAUAAUUGAAAAUUGACGUGUGAUUUCAAGGCUCGUACUGGCUUUUCCUUACCCUAUUUUCUCUCUCAUACGCUAGCGAUGUCCAAUAUAUUGUAGCUAAUGAUUAUUUAUCCCUGUUUGUAUGAUGUUAUGUAAGUGAUUCUCUCUCUUUUUCUUUCUUUUCCAUGUCUAAAAUCUGCAUAUAUUGAGAGAUAAAAUUGUCUUGUUCAUAAUUUCAAUGUUUG